RNAcentral lists this ribosomal RNA (216 nucleotides) under uncultured bacterium. RNAcentral's name for it is "partial 16S ribosomal RNA". It matches the Rfam family "Bacterial small subunit ribosomal RNA", at positions 116 to 334 of the family's 1533-position model. The record is from RNAcentral.
UAUCGGAACGUGCCCUGGAGUGGGGGAGUAACUAGUCGAAAGACUAGCUAAUACCGCAUACGAUCUACGGAUGAAAGUGGGGGAUCGCAAGACCUCAUGCUCGUGGAGCGGCCGAUAUCUGAUUAGCUAGUUGGUGGGGUAAAGGCCUACCAAGGCAUCGAUCAGUAGCUGGUCUGAGAGGACGACCAGCCACACUGGGACUGAGACACGGCCCAG